This 3262-nucleotide ribosomal RNA is filed under the name Candidatus Levyibacteriota bacterium. RNAcentral's name for it is "23S ribosomal RNA". It matches the Rfam family "Bacterial large subunit ribosomal RNA". The record is from RNAcentral. Lineage: Bacteria; Candidatus Levyibacteriota.
AAACUACUCAUAAUGCUGAUAAUGGAUGCCUAGGAGAUUUUGGCCGAGGAAGGACGCAUAUAGCGGCGAUACUCGUCGGUGAGGUGCUAUAAACCUUUGACCCGGCGGUGUCCGAAUGGAGUAAUCCCACCUUUAUGGUGAGCCUUUCGUAAACAAAUUGAAUUUAUUCAGUUAAUAGCGAAAAGGCGGGGAACGGCGUGAACUGAAACAUCUAAGUAGCGCCAGGAAUAUAAAUCAAAUGAGAUUCCCUUAGUAGCGGCGAGCGAAAAGGGAGGAGUCUAAACUCUGAAUUUAUUCAGAGGGUUGCAGGGCAGACGAUAUUCGAUGUGGAAAUUGAUAGCAGAAGUGCUCGGAAUAGCACACCAUAGAUAGUGAAAGUCUAGUAAGCGAAAUCAAUUUCUCCGAUAGUCUGUUCCUAAGUACCAUGGGGUACGGUGAAACCCUGUGGGAAUCUGGGGCGGCCACGUUCCAAGACUAAAUACCAAAAUCUACCGAUAGUGAACUAGUACCGCGAGGGAAAGGUGAAAAGCACCCCGGGAGGGGAAUGAAAUAGAACUGAAAUUGUCAGCUAACAAGCAGUGAAAGUGCAGUAAUGUAUGAUCACGUGCCUAUUGAAGAAUGAACCGGUGAGUUAUUCAUGGCUCUUCGUCUAAGGAACUAAGUUCCGCAGGCAAAGUGAAAGCGUGCUCUAAAUGAGCGUUAAUAAGAGCUAUGUAUAGACCCGAAACCAGGUGAGCUUACCUUGAACAGGUUGAAGGUUGACGAGAGUCAGCCGGAGGACCGCACUCGUAUCCGUAGCAAUGGGUUGAGACGAUUUGAGGUAAGGGGCAAUAUGCCAAACGAACCUGGAGAUAGCUGGUUCUCCCCGAAAUAUAUUUAGGUAUAGCGCCUGUUUUACGUUUCCAGGGGUAGAGCACUGAAUGAAUUUCUAGGUCGCAAGAUCUAGACUUCAAUCAAACUCCGAAUACUGGAAAACAACUAGCAGGUAGUCAGUCCCGUCGGGCUAAGCUGAUGGGUCAAAAGGGAAACAACCCAGACUUUCGUCUAAGGCCUCAAAAUAAAGGCUAAGUUUUGAACGAAGUCACAAUUCAUAGACAACCAGGAGGUUGGCUUAGAAGCAGCCAUCCUUUAAAGAAAGCGUAACAGCUCACUGGAGGAUGAUUUGUGGCGCGGAAAAUUUAUCGAGGAUUAAGCCUUUUGCCGAAGACAGAGAAUUGAAAGAUUGGUAGGGGAGCGUUCUAUGCGCAGCGAAGCUGAACUGUAAGGUUUGGUGGAGUACAUAGAAGUGAGAAUGCCGGUAUGAGUAGCGAUAGCAUGGUAAGAAACCAUGCCGCCGAAAAUCCAAGGUUUCCUCCGCAAUGUAAGUCAGCGGAGGGUUAGUCGGCCCUAAGGGUGUUCCUCGUUAAAUGGGGGGUAGCCUGAUGGAUAAGCAGUUUAAAUUCUGCUACAAGAUAUGAAUAUGUAAGGGGAGGACGGAAGUGGAAGAGCUGAGCUGCGAGAGCAGUCCAAGUAACAAGAUAGUGUCGAUUGGCAAAUCCAUUGACAUGUUUAAUUGAGUUACUAAUGAAAGCUUAUUGAGAGAUAAGUUAUUCGGUAGCUUUCAGUUUCCAGGAAAAAUCUCAUUAUGACUAGUAAUAGUCAAAAUUCAUAUUUUACCGUACCGUAUACCGACACAGGUGGAUAGGUCGAGUAGACUAAGGCGAUCGGGAGAAAAUUGGUUAAGGAACUCGGCAAAAAAUCUAGGCGUAACCUUUGGGAGAUGCCUUGCCGCAAUUAGUUUUGCGGUUGCAACAAAAGAGUAUUUAGCGACUGUUUAUCUAAAACACAGGUCCCUGCAAAGCUGAAAAGCGAAGUAUAGGGGCUGACACCUGCCCAGUGCUGGUAAGUCAAGUAUGGAGAGUGAAGUGGGAGUAAUCUUAUAAGCUUUUUUUACAAGCUCCAGUAAACGGCAGCAGUAACUAUAACUGUUCUAUGGUAGCGAAGUUCCUUGUCGGGCGAGUUCCGACCCGCACGAAUGGUAGAACGACUAAAUAACUGUCUUAAUCAAUUACCCGGCGAAAUUGCGAUGGCUGUGAAGACGCGGCCUAGUUGUCCUUGGACAAAAAGACCCCGGGAGCUUUACUGUAUCUUGGCAUUUAUGAGUUUAUUUCAAUUGUUUAGUAUAGGAGGGAGAUUCGUCAUUAGUGAAAUACCUCUCUUUGGAAUGAGCAAGUAUCACUCUUAAGCCGCAUAAAAAUCCGGCAAGGGAACAGUGUCAGGUGGGCAGUUUAACUGGGGAGGUUGACUCCUAAAUCGUAACGGAGUUGUACAAAGGUUGGCUAAUCACGGAUGGAAAUCGUGAUUCAUUGUGUAAAGGCAUAAGCCAGCUUGACUGCGAGACCCACAAGUCGAGCAGGUACGAAAGUAGGUCUUAAUGAUCCUGUGAUGCGUAGUGGUACGCACACAGCUUAACGGAUAAAAGCUACCCCGGGGAUAACAGGCUGAUCGCACCCAAGCGUCCAUAGCGACGGUGCGGUUUGGCACCUUGAACAAAAAUCGGGGCGCCUAUACUGAGAAGUAUAUGCCUGGUUAUUCUAAAUUAAAACGCAGUUAGAGAAUGCGUUAGUAAUAAUAAAUCAACUAGUUAAUAUCGGUGGACACCAUUAUUAUGAACAAAUAUUGGUCAAUACCGAGGGAAGUCCGAUUAAAUCGGACCCCGUAUCGACUUUGUUUGGCCUCGAAAGCCAAACAGGAUAGAAGUUUUACUCCGAUUAAAUCGGAGAAUCUAUGGCUUCUAUAAUUAGACUAGCUCUUUUCGUGAUUGAAAAGAUGAAGGUAUAGUCAAUGCUCGUGGUAACACGAGAGUGCAUUCGUCAGUUGACGAAUCGCGAUGUCGGCUCAUCGCAUCCUGGGGGUGGAGAAGCUCCCAAGGGUCUGGCUGUUCGCCAGUUAAAGCGGUACGCGAGCUGGGUUCAGAGCGUCGUAAGACAGCUCGGUCUCUAUCCAGGAUGACCGUUGAUAUUUGAGGAGAUUCGUCCCUAGUACGAGAGGACUGGGAUGAGGGAAUCCCUGGUGUGUCAGUUGUUAGCACUGCUAGCAUCGCUGAGUAACUAGAUUCCCAACGGAUAACCGCUGAAAGCAUCUAAGUGGGAAGCCGCCUCCAAGAUUAGAUAUCGUUCCGUAAGGAUGAAGCCCCUUGUAGACCACGAGGUUGAUAGGCGGGCGGUGUAAGCACAGUAAUGUGUUGAGCCUACCCGUACUAAUGGCUAAUAAAGUAGUUUUU